RNAcentral lists this transfer RNA (73 nucleotides) under Stegodyphus mimosarum. It matches the Rfam family "tRNA". From Rfam's summary of the family: Transfer RNA (tRNA) molecules are approximately 80 nucleotides in length. Their secondary structure includes four short double-helical elements and three loops (D, anti-codon, and T loops). The record is from Rfam by way of RNAcentral. Lineage: Eukaryota; Metazoa; Arthropoda; Arachnida; Araneae; Eresidae.
GCCUUCGUGGUGCAGUGGUCAGCACACUCGGCGCGUAUUCGAGAGGUCCAUGGUUCGAGUCCCGGCGAAGGCA